This 240-nucleotide ribosomal RNA is filed under the name uncultured bacterium. Its description in RNAcentral is "partial 16S ribosomal RNA". It matches the Rfam family "Bacterial small subunit ribosomal RNA", at positions 524 to 751 of the family's 1533-position model. The record is from RNAcentral.
UACGUAGGGGCCUAGCGUUGUCCGGAUUUAUUGGGCGUAAAGAGCUCGUAGGCGGUUCGGCAAGUCGGAUGUGAAAAUCUCCACGCUCAACGUGGAGGGGCCAUUCGAAACUGCCGUGACUCGAGGUCCGGUAGGGGACGUGUGGAAUUCCCGGUGUGAGCGGUGAAAUGCGCAGAUAAUCAGGAGGAACACCGGUGGCGAAGGGCGGGGUCUCCUGGGGCAAACAACGUGACGCUGGAG